GACGGGGCCGCACAAGCGGUGGAGCAUGUGGUUAAUUCGAAGCAACGCGAAGAACCUUACCAGGCCUUGACAUGCAGAGAACUUUCCAGAGAUGGAUUGGUGCCUUCGGGAACUCUGACACAGGUGCUGCAUGGCUGUCGUCAGCUCGUGUCGUGAGAUGUUGGGUUAAGUCCCGUAACGAGCGCAACCCUUGUCCUUAGUUACCAGCACGUUAUGGUGGGCACUCUAAGGAGACUGCCGGUGACAAACCGGAGGAAGGUGGGGAUGACGUCGAGUCAUCAUGGCCCUUACGGCCUGGGCUACACACGUGCUACAAUGGUCGGUACAAAGGGUUGCCAAGCCGCGAGGUGGAGCUAAUCCCAUAAAACCGAUCGUAGUCCGGAUCGCAGUCUGCAACUCGACUGCGUGAAGUCGGAAUCGCUAGUAAUCGUGAAUCAGAAUGUCACGGUGAAUACGUUCCCGGGCCUU
Molecule: ribosomal RNA, 468 nt
Filed under: uncultured Pseudomonas sp.
Lineage: Bacteria; Pseudomonadati; Pseudomonadota; Gammaproteobacteria; Pseudomonadales; Pseudomonadaceae
Description: bacterial SSU rRNA
Rfam family: Bacterial small subunit ribosomal RNA
Source: RNAcentral